GGAGAAUAAAUGAUCACACUGGGAAGGAAGAGCAACACUCAUUAUAUUCCAGAAAGUCAUUAUUAUUGUGACAGAGGCAAAUUUCAGGAUGAACAGUGCACCAAAGACCUUGCUCAGGAACAUAGUGACUGUGGUAUUGGUUCACCUCAGGCCUUGCUCAGGCAGAUAGUGACCACAGUACUGGCUCAGCCUGGUUGCUGGAGGAACUGAUGGACAGACAUCUUGUUCAACAGCUGAGGGAAAAUUGAGAGUGAUGUGUGUAAUGCCAUCAGCCACAACGUCAUAGUCUUUCACAGGACAAAAGAAGACUAAAAAUGGAAAGAAAGAGAAGGGACAAGCCAGCCUAUCUAGAAAAUAUAGCCGCCAAGGAAAGCUGUGCCAGGGAAGAGGAACACACUGUUACCAAAGUCCAGUUCACAAUGGGUUCAUUCCUUCUGCCAUUUACACAAAGCCACAGCUGAUCAGACUGAAACAUUCCUCUUGCUGGCUCCUAUUCUUCCUUCAUUUUAUUAAUAACCUGGCAACAGGAUAGGGGCUAAGAAAAGAGACCUUCUAGAAUGGAGAAUUUACUGAAGAAACCAGAAGUGAAAGGUAGGUAUGGGAGUUUGAAGUCACAUUUAUUAGGUGACAUAGUUCCUUUAGAGAACGAGAAAAGGACUUUAGGCAUGAGCACAACCCAUCAGGAAAAUCCAUGGUGACCUGGGCAAAUUCAUGCAGCACGGAUGUUGUAGAACAGUUUUAUGGAAGUGUGACAUCUUAAAGUCAAAAUAUAUUUUUCUCUGAUUAUUUUUUGUAUUGAUGUGGGUUCUGUUUUGUUUUGCUUUUGUUUGUUUGACAUUGUUGCUGAUUUUUAAGUACCUGUCCUACAUGAUGAGAUCUUGCAGCUCAAUUAAAAAGGAAAUAAUUAUUUAAAGCAUUCUGUGGAAUGUGGAACAGGCCCUGGAA
This 945-nucleotide long non-coding RNA is filed under the name Gallus gallus (chicken). RNAcentral's name for it is "long non-coding RNA NONGGAT003196". Lineage: Eukaryota; Metazoa; Chordata; Aves; Galliformes; Phasianidae. The record is from RNAcentral.